GACGAACGCUGGCGGCGUGCUUAACACAUGCAAGUCGAACGGAAAGGCCCUGCUUUUGUGGGGUGCUCGAGUGGCGAACUGGCGAGUAACACGUGAGUAACCUGCCCUUGACUUUGGGAUAACUUCAGGAAACUGGGGCUAAUACCGGAUAGGAGCUCCUGCUGCAUGGUGGGGGUUGGAAAGUUUCGGCGGUUGGGGAUGGACUCGCGGCUUAUCAGCUUGUUGGUGGGGUAGUGGCUUACCAAGGCUUUGACGGGUAGCCGGCCUGAGAGGGUGACCGGCCACAUUGGGACUGAGAUACGGCCCAGACUCCUACGGGAGGCAGCAGUGGGGAAUAUUGCACAAUGGGCGGAAGCCUGAUGCAGCAACGCCGCGUGCGGGAUGACGGCCUUCGGGUUGUAAACCGCUUUCGCCUGUGACGAAGCGUGAGUGACGGUAAUGGGUAAAGAAGCACCGGCUAACUACGU
Molecule: ribosomal RNA, 467 nt
Filed under: uncultured bacterium
Lineage: Bacteria
Description: partial 16S ribosomal RNA
Rfam family: Bacterial small subunit ribosomal RNA
Source: RNAcentral